GCUGCGAUGGCCGAGCGGUUAAGGCGAUGGACUAGAAAUCCAUUGGGAUUCUUCCCGCACAGGUUCAAAUCCUGUUCGCAGCG
Non-coding RNA from Contarinia nasturtii (swede midge), 83 nucleotides. The record is from the annotation of a RefSeq genome assembly. NCBI's taxonomy places the organism in Eukaryota, Metazoa, Arthropoda, Insecta, Diptera, Cecidomyiidae.